UACGUAGGUGGCAAGCGUUGUCCGGAUUUACUGGGCGUAAAGAGCGCGCAGGCGGUCGUUCAAGUCGCGUGUGAAAGCCCCCGGCUCAACUGGGGAGGGUCACGCGAUACUGAUCGACUGGAAGGCAGGAGAGGGUAGUGGAAUUCCCGGUGUAGAGGUGAAAUUCGUAGAUAUCGGGAGGAACACCGGUGGCGAAGGCGGCGACCUGGGUCGAGACUGACGCUGAGGCGCGAAAGCGUGGGGAGCAAACAGG
Molecule: ribosomal RNA, 253 nt
Filed under: uncultured bacterium
Lineage: Bacteria
Description: partial 16S ribosomal RNA
Rfam family: Bacterial small subunit ribosomal RNA
Source: RNAcentral